CAGUAGCCGCGGUAAUACCAGCACCUCGAGUGGUCAGGAGGUUUAUUGGGCCUAAAGCAUCCGUAGCCGGUUGCAUAAGUUUUCGGUUAAAUCUAUGCGCUUAACGUAUAGGCCGCCGAAAAUACUGUGCAGCUAGGGAGUGGGAGAGGUACACGGUACUCGAUAGGAAGGGGUAAAAUCCUUUGAUCUAUUGAUGACCACCUGUGGCGAAGGCGGUGUACCAGAACACGUUCGACGGUGAGGGAUGAAAGCUGGGGGAGCAAACCGGAUUAGAUACCCCGGUAGUCCCUGUCUCUUAUAC
This 301-nucleotide ribosomal RNA is filed under the name uncultured bacterium. Its description in RNAcentral is "partial 16S ribosomal RNA". It matches the Rfam family "Archaeal small subunit ribosomal RNA", at positions 459 to 760 of the family's 1478-position model. The record is from RNAcentral.